ACUCCUACGGGAGGCAGCAGUGGGGAAUUUUGGACAAUGGGCGCAAGCCUGAUCCAGCCAUGCCGCGUGCGGGAAGAAGGCCUUCGGGUUGUAAACCGCUUUUGUCAGGGAAGAAAAGGUUCUGGCUAAUACCUGGGACUCAUGACGGUACCUGAAGAAUAAGCACCGGCUAACUACGUGCCAGCAGCCGCGGUAAUACGUAGGGUGCAAGCGUUAAUCGGAAUUACUGGGCGUAAAGCGUGCGCAGGCGGUUAUGCAAGACAGAGGUGAAAUCCCCGGGCUCAACCUGGGAACUGCCUUUGUGACUGCAUGGCUAGAGUACGGUAGAGGGGGAUGGAAUUCCGCGUGUAGCAGUGAAAUGCGUAGAUAUGCGGAGGAACACCGAUGGCGAAGGCAAUCCCCUGGACCUGUACUGACGCUCAUGCACGAAAGCGUGGGGAGCAAACAGGAUUAGAAACCCUGGUAGUCCCA
Molecule: ribosomal RNA, 471 nt
Filed under: uncultured organism
Description: partial 16S ribosomal RNA
Rfam family: Bacterial small subunit ribosomal RNA
Source: RNAcentral